RNAcentral lists this ribosomal RNA (674 nucleotides) under uncultured archaeon. RNAcentral describes it as "bacterial SSU rRNA". It matches the Rfam family "Archaeal small subunit ribosomal RNA", at positions 31 to 711 of the family's 1478-position model. The record is from RNAcentral.
UAUCAGAUUUCGAUUUAGCCAUGCGAGGCGAGAGGUGAAAGACCUCGCCGAACUGCUCAGUAACACGUAGUUAACUUACUCUUAGGUUGGGGAUAAUCUUGCGAAAGUGAGGCUAAUACCCAAUAGCUGUUUGGUGCUGGAAUGCGCUAACAGUUAAAAUUACGAUGCCUAAGAAUAGGACUGCGGCGUAUCAGGCGGUUGUGAGUGUAAAGUACUCACAAACCUAUAACGCGUAGGGGCCAUGAGAGUGGGAGCCUCGAGAUGCCUUCUGAGACAUGAAGGCAGGUCCUACGGGACGCAGCAGGCGCGAAAACUUUCCAAUUCAUUAACGUGUGAGAAGGGAAGUCUGAGUGCUCAUGUUUUACAUGAGCUUUUCUUUAGUCCAAAAAACUAGAGGAAUAAGUGGUGGGUAAGACAGGUGCCAGCCGCCGCGGUAAUACCUGCGCCACAAAUGGUGAUCACUAUUAUAGGGUCUAGAGCGUCCGUAGCCGGUUUAGCAAGUUCCUGGUGAAAUCUGGCAGCAAACUGUCAGGCGUGCUGGGAAUACUAUUAAACUUGAGAUUGGGAGAGGUCAGAGGUAGUCCAUGUGUAGGGGUUAAAUCCUUUAAUCCAUGGAGGACCACCGGUGGCGAAGGCGUCUGACUGGAACAAGUCUGACGGUGAGGGACGAAAGC